ACAGUGGUGGUUCAGUGGUAGAAUUCUCACCUUCCAUGCGGGAGAGCCAGGUUCGAUUCCUGGCCAGUA
RNAcentral lists this transfer RNA (69 nucleotides) under Loxodonta africana (African savanna elephant). It matches the Rfam family "tRNA". Rfam says of the family: Transfer RNA (tRNA) molecules are approximately 80 nucleotides in length. Their secondary structure includes four short double-helical elements and three loops (D, anti-codon, and T loops). Further hydrogen bonds mediate the characteristic L-shaped molecular structure. tRNAs have two regions of fundamental functional importance: the anti-codon, which is responsible for specific mRNA codon recognition, and the 3' end, to which the tRNAs corresponding amino acid is attached (by aminoacyl-tRNA synthetases). tRNAs cope with the degeneracy of the genetic code in two manners: having more than one tRNA (with a specific anti-codon) for a particular amino acid; and 'wobble' base-pairing, i.e. permitting non-standard base-pairing at the 3rd anti-codon position. Lineage: Eukaryota; Metazoa; Chordata; Mammalia; Proboscidea; Elephantidae. The record is from Rfam by way of RNAcentral.